AUUCCAAUAUACUUUCUUGCCCUUGUUUCAUAAACAAUCAUGAGCCUUUAUGUUGAUCCAUUUAGUUACCUCAACACCAACCUUUGCAAGAGCCUUCUCAGUGCAGAAGACUUUUGGAGUAAGCUGGGUCUGUUCUGUACUGAUUUUAUAAGUGGGAAAGAAAGUUCUCAGAAGGAAGGCUACUUUGAUUCUGCUGGCAUAGGAGGGACAGGUAUCUGAGGUCAAGCCCUCUUGCUAGGUAUUUUUUAUAUUUAAAGAGCUGUUUCCUGAUGAUGUAUUUACAGUGAAGAUGUCAAGUAGUUAAGAUGACUUGAUGGGAAUUUGCAACUUCUGGGACGGUGACAGUUUCCUACAGAUGAGGGUCUGAGCCAUUCUUGCCAUGGUUGUUAGAUCCUUUUCUCAACUGGGUUUCCAAUGCUUUGAUCUUACUGGAGGUCAGAUUGGAAAGCAUGGUGCUAUCCUUUCCCCUGCCAACAAGGUAUUCAUCAGCAUUGCACGCUGGUGCUUCUUGACAUGGGAACGUAAGAAGAUGGAUGGAGAAGUUCAUGAUGACUCCCAGAGGUGGAGGCCCAUGGCCAUUUGAGAAAUUCUAGAGUGGACACUCAUGCAGACUCCUUGGGUACCGGUCGAAUGGACUGGUGCUCCAGAGUGAGCCUGGGUGACAGAAGACCUUGCAGAAGGAUGAAGAGGCACAGACUAGAACUGCAAGGUUGUAGCUGGUUCUGCCCUGAUUCCUGCAGGUGCCAACCCUGAGGACAUAAUUUGUUCCAACUAUACUAUUACAAUCAUUAAGUUGAUGGUAUCUGGGAAGCAGGCUAGAGUCUAACUCAUUUUCUGUUGUGGUGUGAACUUGGCAAUUCUGGUGACAGUGGCCUUGAGUGUGUUGCCCUUGUUAUCCACUGUGCGAGCAUUUUGAACUUUAACUCUAUCCCUGGGGUGGUUGGAUACUAGACUUUGGUACUAGAAAACCUGCUUGGUGUUCCUGGUGGCUCAGAUCCUCGUGUGCCUGAAUUCUGAGCUUAGUGCUCCUUUCCUGUGGCUUGGGAUGGUGAUAAUUUCAUGCACACCUAAACUCGGAAUUUCUCAGAGCCAUCUGGUCACCAGCCAAGAAUUUUGUGCAUUUGGGUGCAGUGGCCAAAAUGUCAGUCAGGGAAAAUAAAGAAAAUAUCUUCUUUAAUAACAUGUCUCUGGGAAUCAGCCAAGUCUAAGCCUAUCAGAGGUCCUUCAGCCCAACCCCACAUGUGAGGCUGGGCUGCUGUCACCCAUCUCAGAUGGAGAGUCCUUUAAACACUGUCAGGAGGCAAGAUUCCACAGGCUCCCUCCAUCAGCUCUCCUGAGCCAAGAAAGAGAAGAGCUUGUUUAAGUUUGGAAGACUUCCAUUGAUAUGUCAUUGAAGGGGUGUUGUCACAUAUCGUGGGGUGCAGACCCUGCCAGCUUCCAUGCUGGGCUCAGGAAAGAGGUUUGGGCUUGUGGCCUGUAUGCCCCAGAGAGAAAAUACCCUGAUGUGGAGGUGAGUGUGGUGAUGGGUUAGAAGUACAGAUGCCUCGGUCAGCACUUACCUUCCCUUUUUGUUUUUUAAAUUUUUUUAAGCUUUUGUCCUUAUGUAUUUCUCAGAAAUAAAAUGCUCUUUAGAUGGAUUUGGAUUGUGUCGUUUUUUACAGUCUACUACGAGGAAGUCUUUUGUUCCAUAGAUCCUGGUGUUCUCCAUUUCCAUGUGAGGAGAUGAAAAAGAAUGAAAUUCCCCAAUGCGUACCCUCUUUCCCUAAUGUCCUAUACCAUCUCAAUGUUCUUUGGCUUUAAUUAUGAUUCUUCUUAGCUUUGGGGAAGACAGCAUUGGGAGUCUCAUCUGCUUCCAGUUUCUUUUAUGAACUUGCAAAUAAUCUAUGAAAAGAUGUAACUUUAGUCCUGUCCUCACCUUUCUUAGCAAAAAUGCCAGUAAGGUUACAAACAAGGCUAUUCGCAUUCUGCUUGAGGACUAUCUUAGCCUCAUCCCAGUUUAGCCUUUCUUCUGUGUUGCUAACUUGUGUGGUUUGGCAUAGCAAGGCUUUGUUUAUAAGAAGAACUUCUGGUUAUUUACGUAGACACUUUUCAUUU
Long non-coding RNA from Sapajus apella (tufted capuchin), 2094 nucleotides. RefSeq lists it as uncharacterized. Lineage: Eukaryota; Metazoa; Chordata; Mammalia; Primates; Cebidae. The transcript is spliced from 2 exons. The record is from RefSeq and is a predicted model, not a curated record.